Molecule: ribosomal RNA, 406 nt
Filed under: uncultured bacterium
Lineage: Bacteria
Description: partial 16S ribosomal RNA
Rfam family: Bacterial small subunit ribosomal RNA
Source: RNAcentral
AUUGAACGCUGGCGGUAUGCUUAACACAUGCAAGUCGAACGAGUGGCGGACGGGUGAGUAAUGCAUAGGAAUCUACCUUUUAGUCUAGGAUAACUACCCGAAAGGGUGGCUAAUACUGGAUGCUAAGAUAUGAGCCUAUGUGGUAUUAGGUAUUUGGUGGGGUAAUGGCUCACCAGGGCGACGCUCUCUCGCUGGUUUGAGAGGAUGUUCAGCCCAAAUGGGACUGAGACACGGCCCAGACUCCUACGGGAGGCAGCAGUGGGGAAUAUUGGAAAAUGGGCGAAAGCCUGAUCCAGCAAUACCGGGUGUGUGAAGGAGGCCCUAGGGUUGUAAAGCACUUUUGUUAGGGAGAUGUUAACUAAAGAAUAAGCACCGGCUAACUCCGUGCCAGCAGCCGCGGUAAUAC